GACGAACGCUGGCGGCGUGCUUAACACAUGCAAGUCGAACGGAAAGGCCCUGCUUUUGUGGGGUGCUCGAGUGGCGAACGGGUGAGUAACACGUGAGUAACCUGCCCUUGACUUUGGGAUAACUUCAGGAAACUGGGGCUAAUACCGGAUAGGAGCUCCUGCUGCAUGGUGGGGGUUGGAAAGUUUCGGCGGUUGGGGAUGGACUCGCGGCUUAUCAGCUUGUUGGUGGGGUAGUGGCUUACCAAGGCUUUGACGGGUAGCCGGCCUGAGAGGGUGACCGGCCACAUUGGGACUGAGAUGCGGCCCAGACUCCUACGGGAGGCAGCAGUGGGGAAGAGUGCACAAUGGGCGGAAGCCUGAUGCAGCAACGCCGCGUGCGGGAUGACGGCCUUCGGGUUGUAAACCGCUUUCGCCUGUGACGAAGCGUGAGUGACGGUAAUGGGUAAAGAAGCACCGGCUAACUACGUG
This 468-nucleotide ribosomal RNA is filed under the name uncultured bacterium. RNAcentral describes it as "partial 16S ribosomal RNA". It matches the Rfam family "Bacterial small subunit ribosomal RNA", at positions 28 to 507 of the family's 1533-position model. The record is from RNAcentral.